RNAcentral lists this ribosomal RNA (442 nucleotides) under uncultured bacterium. Its description in RNAcentral is "partial 16S ribosomal RNA". It matches the Rfam family "Bacterial small subunit ribosomal RNA", at positions 338 to 795 of the family's 1533-position model. The record is from RNAcentral.
CCUACGGGAGGCAGCAGUGGGGAAUAUUGGGCAAUGGGCGCAAGCCUGACCCAGCAACGCCGCGUGAAGGAAGAAGGCUUUCGGGUUGUAAACUUCUUUUAAGAGGGAAGAGAAGAAGACGGUACCUCUUGAAUAAGCCACGGCUAACUACGUGCCAGCAGCCGCGGUAAUACGUAGGUGGCAAGCGUUGUCCGGAUUUACUGGGUGUAAAGGGCGUGCAGCCGGGCUGACAAGUCAGAUGUGAAAUCCCGCGGCUCAACCGCGGAACUGCAGUUGAAACUGUCAGUCUUGAGGACCGGAGAGGUCAUCGGAAUUCCUGGUGGAGCGGUGAAAGGCGUAGAUAUAAGGAAGAACACCAGUGGCGAAGGCGGAUGACUGGACGGCAACUGACGGUGAGGCGCGAAAGCGUGGGGAGCAAACAGGAUUAGAUACCCGUGUAGUC